RNAcentral lists this ribosomal RNA (446 nucleotides) under uncultured bacterium. RNAcentral's name for it is "partial 16S ribosomal RNA". It matches the Rfam family "Bacterial small subunit ribosomal RNA", at positions 331 to 794 of the family's 1533-position model. The record is from RNAcentral.
CCAGACUCCUACGGGAGGCAGCAGUGGGGGAUAUUGCACAAUGGGGGGAACCCUGAUGCAGCGACGCCGCGUGGGUGAAGAAGCGCCUCGGCGCGUAAAGCCCUGUCAGCAGGGAAGAAAAUGACGGUACCUGAAGAAGAAGCCCCGGCUAACUACGUGCCAGCAGCCGCGGUAAUACGUAGGGGGCAAGCGUUAUCCGGAUUUACUGGGUGUAAAGGGGGCGCAGACGGCGAUGCAAGCCAGGAGUGAAAGCCCGGGGCCCAACCCCGGGACUGCUCUUGGAACUGCGUGGCUGGAGUGCUGGAGGGGCAGGCGGAAUUCCUGGUGUAGCGGUGAAAUGCGUAGAUACCAGGAGGAACACCGGUGGCGAAGGCGGCCUGCUGGACUGCAACUGACGUUGAGGCCCGAAAGCGUGGGGAGCAAACAGGAUUAGAUACCCUCGUACA